UGGGUCAGCGACUUAUAUUCUGUAGCAAGGUUAACCGAAUAGGGGAGCCGAAGGGAAACCGAGUCUUAACUGGGCGUUAAGUUGCAGGGUAUAGACCCGAAACCCGGUGAUCUAGCCAUGGGCAGGUUGAAGGUUGGGUAACACUAACUGGAGGACCGAACCGACUAAUGUUGAAAAAUUAGCGGAUGACUUGUGGCUGGGGGUGAAAGGCCAAUCAAACCGGGAGAUAGCUGGUUCUCCCCGAAAGCUAUUUAGGUAGCGCCUCGUGAAUUCAUCUCCGGGGGUAGAGCACUGUUUCGGCAAGGGGGUCAUCCCGACUUACCAACCCGAUGCAAACUGCGAAUACCGGAGAAUGUUAUCACGGGAGACACACGGCGGGUGCUAACGUCCGUCGUGAAGAGGGAAACAACCCAGACCGCCAGCUAAGGUCCCAAAGUCAUGGUUAAGUGGGAAACGAUGUGGGAAGGCCCAGACAGCCAGGAUGUUGGCUUAGAAGCAGCCAUCAUUUAAAGAAAGCGUAAUAGCUCACUGGUCGAGUCGGCCUGCGCGGAAGAUGUAACGGGGCUAAACCAUGCACCGAAGCUGCGGCAGCGACACUGUGUGUUGUUGGGUAGGGGAGCGU
Molecule: ribosomal RNA, 622 nt
Filed under: Escherichia coli
Lineage: Bacteria; Pseudomonadati; Pseudomonadota; Gammaproteobacteria; Enterobacterales; Enterobacteriaceae
Description: partial 23S ribosomal RNA
Rfam family: Bacterial large subunit ribosomal RNA
Source: RNAcentral